Molecule: long non-coding RNA, 940 nt
Organism: Xiphophorus hellerii (green swordtail)
Lineage: Eukaryota; Metazoa; Chordata; Actinopteri; Cyprinodontiformes; Poeciliidae
Exons: 3
Source: RefSeq, a predicted model, not a curated record
AAAAAUAUGGAGAUCUUUUUUUUAUUUAUUAUUUUCCUAAAAACAUAAACAGGAAAGGCUUAGCCUGGCGGUGGGGCUUGUAAAGCAUGGCGGGCCGCCAGGCCUAUAAUAUACUGAGGGAAACCCUGAUAAAACCUUAAAACAGUAACAUUAGCAUUAAAACAGAAAUUUAGAAUCACCAUCCAGAAAAAGUUGGAAAAUUGUUUUUUAAUAAUCUCCAAGAAACAACUGGUGGAUCAAAUAUCAUCAUACCUUCACUGUCACUUUCCCCAAACACCAAAACAUACAUACCAUCUUCUGACUCAAAAACUCCUUGACCUGUGCCUUCUCUACUGCACACAGCGGUUUCUCCAAACGAUGCAACGUGCCUUUUGUGGAGGUGUAUUUCCACAUUUCCCAUAUUUUCUCCCCCAAGUUGCCCUGCAUUUGCCUCCCGCUUCGUCCUUCCUUCCCCUCAACUUCUCUGCAUCGUCUGUCUUACUCCUGCUGGACUUAGGCUUUAGAUCUCCUCCAAGUGCUCUAAGAUACCAUUUAGGGGGCGGUUCUUGAUGAACACACAAUCAAUGUCUCUUAACAGACCAAGAGUUCAAAGUUGGAGGAUCUGCUUUUAUCGAAAAUUCCCAAUGUUCUCCGUUCGACACGCUGCUGAACAGACUACUUUUGUUGCAGAUGUAGCAAGUUAUUUCUUGGGGAGUUACCUCAUUUGAACAUCUGCUGAGUAAAUAAGACCCAGAAUAUGGACGCCGUGACAACAAUGUUCAUAUACACAUCAUUGAAAUAUUAACAUUCUAACAUUUUGUGAAGCUAUUUGGAAAACUGUUCCUGCCCCGUUAGGUAGUCAUUAAAAAGGGCAGCUAAACUCGUUGCAAACUAUACUUUACUAGAAGACUGAUUACUGUAUUUGUAGACGUUGGGUAUUGGCCAACAGGUAGACAUUAAG